Molecule: long non-coding RNA, 3654 nt
Filed under: Equus caballus (horse)
Lineage: Eukaryota; Metazoa; Chordata; Mammalia; Perissodactyla; Equidae
Description: lncRNA (ENSECAG00000035401.3)
Source: RNAcentral
GUUUUGUAAAUUGAUACUUAAAGGGACCUAAGGGGAUUUUUUGUUUAAAAGGAAUAAUACGGUGAAUUCUUUUUGUAAUGUGAAUUAUGACCCCCUAAUUGUUAUUAUUAUUAUUAUUGAAAAUCUGUGUAUUGAAAAUCCGGUUUCGAUCCAUUGGAUUUUCUUAAAUAGCGCAUCCUUUUAAUCUGAUUUCUUUCUAUUAGAGAGUAAUAUAUGCAUAUACAUAACUGAUAUUUCUGAAAAAGCAAUAGAUGUUACUAGUACUUCUUGAUUCUAGCAAGGUUUAAAUUUUAAUCCCUACAAUAUAUUCGUUAAACUAAAAACUAUGGUCUAAACCAGUAGCUCCCAAACCUCACUGCACACAGAAUUAAACUGGGAGUUUUAGAGAACACAGAUUUCAGGCCCCGCCUCUUGAGCUUCCGAUUCAAUGGAAAACACAGGAAGGCACCAGGCACUCCCCAAUGGGAGUUUAUGGCUUAGAAUCCUUUGUGCAGCCACAGAGAUUGAGGGCAGAUUAACCCAUAGCUGAUUUUAUUGCUACUGUCCCAGGCUCUCCCUCCCCCAGUGCCAAUGAGAAAGAGAUUUCCAGCUUACAUUAAACAUAGUGAUCCCACGAUGUGGGGCUACUGGUCUAAUGAGAUGGUCUCCAGAGCCAAGGAGUGGGCAACUGCUCUGCAGCCGGAUGUGCGGGCAGACCCUGGUCACAGCAGGUCCUUUGGCUCCCAGUGUAGACCUGUAGGUACAAGGCAGAGUGUGUCACUGUGCCCAAGGGGCUGUGAAUUUUACCUGUAAUUUUAGCAGGGGAGUUUGUAUCCGCUCAUUUCAUACCUAAAAAUGAUUAGAAGAAAACGGAACACGCUCCUGUGGUUAGCAGAAUAACGUUCCCCCACCCCUAAUGAUGUCCGUGUCCUGUUUCCCGAAACUGUGGAUAUGUUAGGUUGUGUGGCAAAAACAAGUGGUUGCUAAUCAGCUGACUUGGAGAUGGGGAGAUUAUCUGGAUUAUCUGGGUGGGUCCACUGUAAUCACAAGGGCCCUUAAAAAUAGAAAAGGGAGGGAGGAGAGAGAGCCUAAGAGAUAACAGCUUGAGAAGGACUCCACAUUGCUGAGAAAUGAAGCCACAAGCCAAUGAAUGUGAGUGUCCUCUAGAAGCUGGAAAAAACAAGAAACUGAGAUAGAAAGAGCACAGCUCUGCUGACACCUUGAUUUUAGCUCAGUGAGACCCGAGUCAGACCUCUAACCUCUAGAACUGGACAAUAAUAAAUGUGUGUUGUUUUAAGCCACUAAAUUUGUGGUAAUUUUUUUACAGCAGGAAUAGGAAACUAAUAUAACACCCAUGACCAAGUUCUCAAAAUUUUUUUUCCUUUAAAAUGCAAGAAAAAAAAACUAGAACUUAAAAUCUGACAGCCUGUCACUUCUCCUUUUUAUUAUUGCAAGGCCCUGCAAGCCAUCUCUAAUAUUUUACUGUUUUUCUCUUGGAAGAUUCUGUAUCUAAGAUAACCAGGCUUAUUUAUUGGGCCAAGUUUUGAACAUAGUAUGAUGAGAUUGUUGUAAGAUCCAGGAUCCAUAUUUUUAAAACCUCCCUUGGUGUCUCCAGGUUUGCAAAUCACUGGUCUAAAAUUUAAAUUCUAGACCACAUAAUUAUGAGUGGCUGCAUGCCUGGAGAAUGAGCACAGUGGAUUAUUAUUAACCUAGGAGGACAUAACAAAUGUGGGGUCCACAGAGACUGGGCCUGGUGAUGUAACAUUUCAUCAGCGACCUGAAUAAUGGAAUGGUGAGCAUGCUCAUUAGCUACGAAUGUGGUACCAAAAUGGAAAACAGGCGGAGGAGGGCAUUUUAAUUAACUAAUGAGGGUUGUUAGGGUGGGGAGAAUAUUGAUUCAAAGGACAGGUGACAGCAGGGUGAGGAAGUGCCGGAGGAGUUGCUGGGAACUGAAUGAAGUUCAGUGGCAGUGAGGGCAAACGCAGAAUAACGCAUGUUCUGUAGAAGGGAAGGAAACAGCACAAUAACAGGCGGGGCGGGGGAAGACUGCAAAAUCAGAGAAAGAUCCUGAGGUAAGUCUGAUCACGGAGUUGGGCGGGCGCUGGGGGGUGGUGCAGGAAGGCCACUUGGCCUGGGCCUCACAUUCACAUGGGCCCUGAAAUUUAGAAUUCUGGCAUCAUUUUGGCAUCUGAUAAAGGUGUUCAUUUGCUCGUGUAAACCUGUAAAGCUCACCACGGUUUUGUAAUCCCAUUUUUGCAACUUUUCCUUUUUUAAUGCACUGGGAGCCUCAAAAACGGAACGUGGCCUGGAUGUCUCAGUUCGAGAGUCCUGACUGGAGAUCACGGUGGAACACAAGAUUUAAUGGGUACUGCAGUUGGUGAAGCAAGCAUCACUGUGCAGCCACAGGGUAUUUGUGGGAGGAUUCACAACGAGCAGCGAGGGCCUCUAGCAAGCAAGGCUGGGAGAAUUCGAAUCCAGGGAGGAAAGGAGAUUUACUUUGUUCCUGAAGAAACUAUUAAUAGGACAACAAGAAUGAAAGCUCCAAUAGAGCAGUGGACAGUGGUGGGACAGCUGAUCCGCGUGCACAGAGCAGCAACCGAGCAAGGCUUUCAGGACAAGGGUUAAUAUUUGACAGAAUGAAACUUCCCGAUAAUUUGACAAGGGAUGCCUAACCAGGAAGCUGAAGAGACAGCUGCACCCUUCUCUGCAAAGAGGAUCUUCUGAGCAAGCCCAGAAGCAAAGUUCGGCCAGAGGCAGCCUGGGGUGCCCAGGUUGUCCGAGAAGAGCCAUUUGAGGGAAAUUGCAUUUCUGGAAUUGAAACCAAGGGAGGUGGAACUGCAGUCGACACAAGGCAAGGACUGAGAAGGAGGCCGGGAUGACAAUCCAGAACAAACCAGCCACAGCACUCCCACUUGGAGAAUAAUCAGUUUCCCCAGUGGUGUUAUAAAACCGGUUGCAAAAAACCAGUUCCUCUUGCUUUAGGUGGCAAGGAUCUUCCGAGUGCUGGUUACCCUCUCACAGCUUUUCAACCUGCUGCCAAAGAAAUUUCCAUCUGUAGUUAUUAAUCCACUGGUAUUGAGGAAAGUUCCUGAACUUUGAAAGCUUGUUUGGGCUGGUAUGAAAGAAAAUAAGCACUUUCCACCACAGCAGAGCCAAACUGUGCUUUCUAGAGGCUGUGGAAAAUUGUUUUCAUUAAACGCAAAUCAUUGCCCCCCAAACCAAUGUUCUUGGGGAUGAAAUUGUCUUUGGCUCCAUUAACUCUGAGAGGCUACAUUAGCCAGUUCUCUAACGGCACUCUGCUAUGGAAGGUUCUAGAAAAUGAAUAGAAAGUGAAUCACUUUCCACUCGCACCCCCAGUACCAACCCCUCACCCCAGCAGCAGCUUACCCCUUAUCAGUUGGAAAGGGGGUGGGGUGGGGGAUGUAGCAUGACUGUGCUUAUACUAUGAAGAUGCUGGGGUGGGGUUGGGGGGACAGCAAUUAAAUGCUGCAACUGGGGUGUUAGUCACAGUGGGUGGGACUCUCCCUGUCAUCCUGCAGAAGCAGAGCCAGAGAAGCUGAUGAUAGCUGAAGAGAGGGAGGGCCCCCCGCGCAACCUCUCUCUUUUCCCAGCAACAGCUGCUUCAUAAGCAGCACUUAGCAUAUGUACAAGGUCGUAAAAGAGGUGAGAAACAGG